RNAcentral lists this ribosomal RNA (157 nucleotides) under Vigna umbellata (rice bean). RNAcentral describes it as "partial 5.8S ribosomal RNA". It matches the Rfam family "5.8S ribosomal RNA". From Rfam's summary of the family: 5.8S ribosomal RNA (5.8S rRNA) is a component of the large subunit of the eukaryotic ribosome. It is transcribed by RNA polymerase I as part of the 45S precursor that also contains 18S and 28S rRNA. The record is from RNAcentral. Lineage: Eukaryota; Viridiplantae; Streptophyta; Magnoliopsida; Fabales; Fabaceae.
CUCGGCAACGGAUAUCUCGGCUCUUGCAAUCCGUGAAGAACGUGCGAAUUGCGAUACUUGGUGUGUAAUUGGCAGAAUCCCCGGAACAUCGAUUCUUUGAAACGCAAGUUUGCGCCCGAAGCCACUAGGCCGAGAGGCACACGCCUGCCUGGGUGUC